GCAGGGGUAGCCAAGCAUGGCCAACGGCGCAGGACUUAAGAUCUCAACAAACAUAAAAUAAGGGUUCGCAGGAUAGGAUAUCCUGUCUCGAAGGAGUCCAAGGGUUCAAAUCCCUUCCCCUGCA
Molecule: transfer RNA, 124 nt
Filed under: Thermoplasmatales archaeon SCGC AB-539-N05
Lineage: Archaea; Methanobacteriati; Thermoplasmatota; Thermoplasmata; Thermoplasmatales
Rfam family: tRNA
About the family: Transfer RNA (tRNA) molecules are approximately 80 nucleotides in length.
Source: Rfam by way of RNAcentral